GUAGGGAAUCUUCCACAAUGGGCGAAAGCCUGAUGGAGCAACGCCGCGUGUGUGAUGAAGGGUUUCGGCUCGUAAAACACUGUUGUAAGAGAAGAAUGACAUUGAGAGUAACUGUUCAAUGUGUGACGGUAUCUUACCAGAAAGGAACGGCUAAAUACGUGCCAG
RNAcentral lists this ribosomal RNA (165 nucleotides) under uncultured bacterium. Its description in RNAcentral is "partial 16S ribosomal RNA". It matches the Rfam family "Bacterial small subunit ribosomal RNA", at positions 354 to 511 of the family's 1533-position model. The record is from RNAcentral.